AAAUUGAAGAGUUUGAUCAUGGCUCAGAUUGAACGCUGGCGGCAGGCCUAACACAUGCAAGUCGAGCGGAAACGAGUUAACUGAACCUUCGGGGGACGUUAACGGCGUCGAGCGGCGGACGGGUGAGUAAUGCCUAGGAAAUUGCCCUGAUGUGGGGGAUAACCAUUGGAAACGAUGGCUAAUACCGCAUAAUGCCUUCGGGCCAAAGAGGGGGACCUUCGGGCCUCUCGCGUCAGGAUAUGCCUAGGUGGGAUUAGCUAGUUGGUGAGGUAAGGGCUCACCAAGGCGACGAUCCCUAGCUGGUCUGAGAGGAUGAUCAGCCACACUGGAACUGAGACACGGUCCAGACUCCUACGGGAGGCAGCAGUGGGGAAUAUUGCACAAUGGGCGCAAGCCUGAUGCAGCCAUGCCGCGUGUAUGAAGAAGGCCUUCGGGUUGUAAAGUACUUUCAGCAGUGAGGAAGGUGGUGUAGUUAAUAACUGCAUCACUUGACGUUAGCUGCAGAAGAAGCACCGGCUAACUCCGUGCCAGCAGCCGCGGUAAUACGGAGGGUGCGAGCGUUAAUCGGAAUUACUGGGCGUAAAGCGCAUGCAGGUGGUCUGUUAAGUCAGAUGUGAAAGCCCGGGGCUCAACCUCGGAAUUGCAUUUGAAACUGGCAGACUAGAGUACUGUAGAGGGGGGUAGAAUUUCAGGUGUAGCGGUGAAAUGCGUAGAGAUCUGAAGGAAUACCGGUGGCGAAGGCGCCCCCUGGACAGAUACUGACACUCAGAUGCGAAAGCGUGGGGCAAACAGGAUUAGAUACCCUGGUAGUCCACGCCGUAAACGAUGUCUACUUGGAGGUUGUGGCCUUGAGCCGUGGCUUUCGGAGCUAACGCGUUAAGUAGACCGCCUGGGGAGUACGGUCGCAAGAUUAAAACUCAAAUGAAUUGACGGGGGCCCGCACAAGCGGUGGAGCAUGUGGUUUAAUUCGAUGCAACGCGAAGAACCUUACCUACUCUUGACAUCCAGAGAAGCCAGUAGAGAUACAGGUGUGCCUUCGGGAACUCUGAGACAGGUGCUGCAUGGCUGUCGUCAGCUCGUGUUGUGAAAUGUUGGGUUAAGUCCCGCAACGAGCGCAACCCUUAUCCUUGUUUGCCAGCGAGUAAUGUCGGGAACUCCAGGGAGACUGCCGGUGAUAAACCGGAGGAAGGUGGGGACGACGUCAAGUCAUCAUGGCCCUUACGAGUAGGGCUACACACGUGCUACAAUGGCGCAUACAGAGGGCAGCAAGCAAGCUAGCGAUAGUGAGCGAAUCCCAAAAAGUGCGUCGUAGUCCGGAUUGGAGUCUGCAACUCGACUCCAUGAAGUCGGAAUCGCUAGUAAUCGUGGAUCAGAAUGCCACGGUGAAUACGUUCCCGGGCCUUGUACACACCGCCCGUCACACCAUGGGAGUGGGCUGCAAAAGAAGUAGGUAGUUUAACCUUCGGGAGAACGCUUACCACUUUGUGGUUCAUGACUGGGGUGAAGUCGUAACAAGGUAGCCCUAGGGGAACCUGGGGCUGGAUCACCUCCUUA
Molecule: ribosomal RNA, 1554 nt
Filed under: Vibrio europaeus
Lineage: Bacteria; Pseudomonadati; Pseudomonadota; Gammaproteobacteria; Vibrionales; Vibrionaceae
Description: bacterial SSU rRNA
Rfam family: Bacterial small subunit ribosomal RNA
Source: RNAcentral